RNAcentral lists this long non-coding RNA (607 nucleotides) under Salvia miltiorrhiza (redroot sage). RNAcentral describes it as "long non-coding RNA (SMIL_LNC002595)". The record is from RNAcentral. Lineage: Eukaryota; Viridiplantae; Streptophyta; Magnoliopsida; Lamiales; Lamiaceae.
AUGUAUGCAUCUGGCAAUAAUACUUCUGCUGCUGCAGGAGAUGGUAUUCUCCAUUUUCCUGCUCUUUGGAUCUACUUAGCUUUCUCAUGCCUUCUAUCUUCUUCUCUUUUUCAUAAUUGCAAAGUCAUGUGAUGUGCAAAUGCCAUGAGUUUUUAUUUGCACAGUGCUUUAAUACGUGAGUCAUCUUAUGCAGUGGGUUUAGCUUUGUGUUUAUUUGUAGUGCACAUCGCCACGCCACAUAAUUUACAAUCUUGUUUUUAGUUUUUUUGUAAUUUAUCACUUGGUUAGCUGCCUUGAAAUAUCUUGAAUACUAGUUAUGAUAUCACUUAGUUCACCACAAUCCGAGAUGUGGAUUUUGCAGGGAAGGAGGACGAUGAUGGAAGCAGUAGUUAAAUCGAACGAUUUUCAUCAACAAUCUUCGUUUUGAUAUCAACAAUCCAGUAAGGAUGUUGCAUUUUAUUUUAUGGUCCAUUAUUUAGAUAUAAUGAAGGUCUGUGUGAGCUUAUUGUCUCUGCAGGCACCCAGAUUUAUGUUUGGUGCAUAAAAGAGGGCGAACUUAGGGCUCAUUGUGCAUGUGUUUGUGCGUGUGUUUUAGCGAGAGAGAGAG